GACGAACGCUGGCGGCGUGCCUAAUACAUGCAAGUAGAACGCUGAAGAGAGGAGCUUGCUCUUCUUGGAUGAGUUGCGAACGGGUGAGUAACGCGUAGGUAACCUGCCUUGUAGCGGGGGAUAACUAUUGGAAACGAUAGCUAAUACCGCAUAACAAUGGAUGACACAUGUCAUUUAUUUGAAAGGGGCAAUUGCUCCACUACAAGAUGGACCUGCGUUGUAUUAGCUAGUAGGUGAGGUAACGGCUCACCUAGGCGACGAUACAUAGCCGACCUGAGAGGGUGAUCGGCCACACUGGGACUGAGACACGGCCCAGACUCCUACGGGAGGCAGCAGUAGGGAAUCUUCGGCAAUGGGGGCAACCCUGACCGAGCAACGCCGCGUGAGUGAAGAAGGUUUUCGGAUCGUAAAGCUCUGUUGUAAGUCAAGAACGAGUGUGAGAGUGGAAAGUUCACACUGUGACGGUAGCUUACCAGAAAGGGACGGCUAACUACGUGCCAGCAGCCGCGGUAAUACGUAGGUCCCGAGCGUUGUCCGGAUUUAUUGGGCGUAAAGCGAGCGCAGGCGGUUUGAUAAGUCUGAAGUUAAAGGCUGUGGCUCAACCAUAGUUCGCUUUGGAAACUGUCAAACUUGAGUGCAGAAGGGGAGAGUGGAAUUCCAUGUGUAGCGGUGAAAUGCGUAGAUAUAUGGAGGAACACCGGUGGCGAAAGCGGCUCUCUGGUCUGUAACUGACGCUGAGGCUCGAAAGCGUGGGGAGCGAACGGGAUUAGAUACCCUGGUAGUCCACGCCGUAAACGAUGAGUGCUAGGUGUUGGAUCCUUUCCGGGAUUCAGUGCCGCAGCUAACGCAUUAAGCACUCCGCCUGGGGAGUACGACCGCAAGGUUGAAACUCAAAGGAAUUGACGGGGGCCCGCACAAGCGGUGGAGCAUGUGGUUUAAUUCGAAGCAACGCGAAGAACCUUACCAGGUCUUGACAUCCCGAUGCUAUUUCUAGAGAUAGAAAGUUACUUCGGUACAUCGGUGACAGGUGGUGCAUGGUUGUCGUCAGCUCGUGUCGUGAGAUGUUGGGUUAAGUCCCGCAACGAGCGCAACCCCUAUUGUUAGUUGCCAUCAUUCAGUUGGGCACUCUAGCGAGACUGCCGGUAAUAAACCGGAGGAAGGUGGGGAUGACGUCAAAUCAUCAUGCCCCUUAUGACCUGGGCUACACACGUGCUACAAUGGUUGGUACAACGAGUUGCGAGUCGGUGACGGCAAGCUAAUCUCUUAAAGCCAAUCUCAGUUCGGAUUGUAGGCUGCAACUCGCCUACAUGAAGUCGGAAUCGCUAGUAAUCGCGGAUCAGCACGCCGCGGUGAAUACGUUCCCGGGCCU
Molecule: ribosomal RNA, 1369 nt
Filed under: uncultured bacterium
Lineage: Bacteria
Description: bacterial SSU rRNA
Rfam family: Bacterial small subunit ribosomal RNA
Source: RNAcentral